AUCAUCAUCAUACUCAAUAUAAGUUACAUUAUUUUAUCUAGUCCGGUAUAUCCAAACAUUAAUUUUUUACCCGAGAAUAGUAGUUCUCGGUUAUCCCUACCAACACCUUCAUUUUCUAUAUAAAACUACCUAAAUUGUUCUUAUUCCCGAGAACAACUCAAUUUUCAUCCAAACACUAAUUUUCUUAUCCCCAUACUUGUACCUAUCCAUGUAAUAGCUAGUUCUUUCUUAUAAUUGAACCAAACGGUAUCUUAGCAGAAUACAAAUAUUUCCUACUAUAAACAUGAAUUUACUUAUUUUCUCUCUGAGUCCAUUUAUGUUAUGCUCAUGUGGUGUAUUCAAAAUUGCCACAGGAUGCAAAUUGAAAGAUUUUAGAGAAUAACGAUUGUUUUAUAUAAUCUUAAUAUAGUACAAGAGCACAAGAUUCUGAGUUCGAGUUCUGUUGACUGUUAGGUUAUUAGAAUUUUAGUUUUCUUUCAUUUAUUUUAAAUAUACGUUUUGGGUCUAUAAAAAUGUUCCGAGCUUAUCAAAAUAUCCUGAGUUCAGAUAUAAAAAAAAGUAUUGAAUAUAAAUAUAAAAAAUACUGUUCUUGAGUUUGAAAUUUGCUAGACUCUUAGCGUUAUUAAUUUUCUUUCAUUUAAUUUAAAUAUACGUUUUGAGCCUAUCAAAAUAUUUUGAGUUUAGAUAUGAGAAAAAGUGAUAAAUGUAAAUAUAAAAAAUGCUGUUCUCUAUGCUGAUCUUGAUCAGUCCUCUUCUCCUAUGAAUCCUUUCUAUCUUUGAUUUUAUUGAUUUUUGGUUAAACUUCAAAUACCCCCUAUGGUUUUACACUUUUUCACUUUAAUACUAUGUGGUUUAAAAUAUAUCAAGUUAGCCCUUAUGGUUUCGUACUUUCUCACUUUAGUACCCUAUGAUUUAAAAUGUAUCAAGUUAGUAUCCUUUAGUUUCAUUUUUCUCUUUUUAUUAACCAUUUCACUAAUUUUUUUCAUUAAAUCAGUAACAAAGUUAAAACUAAAGGGUACUAAAGUGAAUAUUUGAUAAACCUAGGUAUGAUAUUUGAAAUUUUUUGUAUAUAAGUUAACGAAAUAUUAACGGACGAAAAAAAAUCAAGGACAAAGUUAAAACUAAAGAGUACUAAAGUAAAUAUUCGAUAAACUUAGAUAGGGUAUAUGAAGUUUUUUGUAUAUGAUUUAACGAAAUAUUAAUAAAAGAGCCGACAAAAAGAGAAAAAUGAAACUAUAGGGUACUAAAUUGAUGCACUUUAAAGUAUACAUGAUAUUAAAGUGAGAAAGUACGAAAUCACAUGUUACUAAAUUGAUGCACUUUAAACCACAGAAUACUAAAAUGAAAAAGUGCGAAAAUAUAGGGGUGGUAUUUGAAGUUUUCUCUUGAUUUUUUGAAC
RNAcentral lists this long non-coding RNA (1399 nucleotides) under Ananas comosus (pineapple). Its description in RNAcentral is "long non-coding RNA (ACOM_LNC044733)". The record is from RNAcentral. Lineage: Eukaryota; Viridiplantae; Streptophyta; Magnoliopsida; Poales; Bromeliaceae.